AGUGAACGCUGGCGGUAGGCCUAACACAUGCAAGUCGAACGGCAGCACAGUAAGAGCUUGCUCUUACGGGUGGCGAGUGGCGGACGGGUGAGGAAUACAGCGGAAUCUACUUUUUCGUGGGGGAUAACGUAGGGAAACUUACGCUAAUACCGCAUACGACCUACGGGUGAAAGCAGGGGAUCUUCGGACCUUGCGCGAUUGAAUGAGCCGAUGUCGGAUUAGCUAGUUGGCGGGGUAGAGGCCCACCAAGGCGACGAUCCGUAGCUGGUCUGAGAGGAUGAUCAGCCACACUGGAACUGAGACACGGUCCAGACUCCUACGGGAGGCAGCAGUGGGGAAUAUUGGACAAUGGGCGCAAGCCUGAUCCAGCCAUACCGCGUGAGUGAAGAAGGCCUUCGGGUUGUAAAGCCCUUUUGUUGGGAAAGAAAAGCAGCAGGUUAAUACCCCGCUGUUCUGACGGUACCCAAAGAAUAGGCACCGGCUAACUUCGUG
RNAcentral lists this ribosomal RNA (492 nucleotides) under uncultured bacterium. RNAcentral's name for it is "partial 16S ribosomal RNA". It matches the Rfam family "Bacterial small subunit ribosomal RNA", at positions 29 to 507 of the family's 1533-position model. The record is from RNAcentral.